RNAcentral lists this long non-coding RNA (1055 nucleotides) under Homo sapiens (human). RNAcentral describes it as "HSALNT0058917". The record is from RNAcentral. Lineage: Eukaryota; Metazoa; Chordata; Mammalia; Primates; Hominidae.
AUGUAGGCUCACGCCUGUAAUCCCAACACUUUGGGAGGGCGAGAUGGGCAGAGCACAAGGUCAGGAGAUCGAGACCAGCCUGACCAACAUGGUGAAACCCUGUCUCUACUAAAAAUACAAAAAUUAGCCAGGCGUGGUGGCGCACGCCUGUAAUCCCAGCUAGUUGAAAGGCUGAGGCAGGAGAAUCGCCUGAACCUAGGAGGCGGAGGUUGCAGUGAGCUGAGAUCGUGCCAUUGCGCCACUGCACUCCAGCCUGGGUGACAGAGCAAGACUCUGCCUCCAAAAAAAAAAAAGUAACUUAACAUACGUAAUGAAAAUUAUUUUCCAAAUGCGAGUUGAAUUUGUAAUGUCUUCUUUCAGGAUCCACAAACUGCUGGGAUUACAGGCGUGAGCCACCGCGCCUGGCCAGGGACUAUACUCUUUUUAAAAUAGACAUUUGUGGGGCUCACAUAAAAAGUGGAUUUAAAUUAACAUUUUUUUCUUUUUCUCUUGCCACAGUUGAAGAAGAUGAAUCUGGAAAUAGAUAACCAUUUUUACCAAAAUUGUAUAGAAGUCUUUAAAGAGGGGAGGAACAAGAAUAUAAACAUAAUAAAUAUCUGAUAAAGGACUUAUACCCAGAAUAUAUAAAGAAAUAAAAAAUGCAGAGAUCUUAAUAAAUAGAUAAAAGAAUUAACAGAUGCCUCAAAAAAUGGCCAAUUAUAUGAAAAAGUUGCUCAGCUUCAAGUCAUCAGGGAAAUGCAAAUUAAUACAAUAUGAUACCUCUUCAUACCCACUAGAAUGGCUAAAAUGGGAAGGACAGAAUACCAAGUACUGGUGAAGAUGUGGAACAACAGGAACUGUCAUACAUUUUUGGUAAGAGUGUAAAUUUGUACAACCACUUUAGAGAACUAUUCUGACAGAAUCUACAAAAUUGAAUUAGGAAUAACUAAUGACUCACGAAUCCCAUUCUGAGGUCUAUAGCCAACAGAAAUGCAUACAUAUAUGUUCACCAAAAGACAUGUACCAAAAUGUUCAUAGCAGCAGGCAGCACUAUUUGUAAAAGCCCCAAACUGGGA